UGUCAUUUAUAUCAAAUAUUCAUAAUCUUUCAUGUGGUGCUUACAUGUAGUGAUUACAUAUAUUUCACAUGGUCUUUAAAUAUAAUAUAUGUUCACAUUUUAUAAUAUUAGUUGAUAUUUCAUAAUAAACAGUUGAAAUGUUGUACAGUAGCCUAUAACUUCUCUGGAGAAUGUUCUUUUGUUCUGGCCCCUAAUCAAUUCACUACAAAAGCAGGUUUCCCAUUUCUAAGAGAAAAGAAUGGUUUAUGUUCUAUAGUCUUUUCAUUCAGCAAUUUGGUGAUGUAUAGAUACAUUUUGUUGGAAUGAGAUUAUGCGGCACAGCUGUUGGCAUGGAAACGGUUUGGCCUGGCAGUCAGCACAUUCAGUCUGUUUUGGCAACAGUAGUUUUUAGCACUGGAGGCAAACACACACACACACACAUAUAUGUAGAAAUAUACAAGAAGAAAGAGUGAGAGAGAGAGAGAGUCUUAACAAUUUAUUAAUUGAAAAUGGCUGGCACAAACACUUUCCCUCUCUUCAUGCACAUAAGGAGAAGCGUAGCUGUGUGGUUCUGAGUUCAGUUCCACUGUGUGGCACCUUGGGUAAGCGUCUAUAGCCUUGGGCUUAUUUUUCUCUAUAGCAUGGCACCGCUCUACCAGUGGAGUGCCAGGUAUAUGGUCAAAUUUGUCAAAGUGGAUUUGUGGUGAUGGGAAUAAAUGUUUAAGUACUUAAGGCACUGGGUGGUUUUAUGAUUUGGGGAGCAGUGGCGGACUGGGUCUAAAAAUAUUAGUUGCCCGGAGACUACAAUUACAAUGCUAUCAUUUAUUUUUUUUAAGUAUUCUCUUCAACUGUCUACAAACACAGCCAGGCGGAAAUAAUGCAUUCUUCCAGGAGUGAAUAAAAAAUUCUCAAACUUGAGGGGAUGGGCCCCUUAGAUACUAACAUGAGCCCCCAUAUAUGGAUUAUAAUGGCACAGGGGCCACUUGCCAUCGGGCAAGCUGGCAACUUGGCCAGUCUGCCACUGACGGGGAGUAUUGGGAUGUUUUUAAGUUUAAAGUAACAUCUAAAAAUUAGUGGUUUUAUGGGAAUUUUCCAAGGUAAUGGAUAGGUUGAGAUUAGAGAAGAAUUUGUGCAGAUCUUUCCUAAUUCAUUCUAAAGAGGAUUUAUUAACACCCUUGGUGACUAGCAAAGCAUCUUGGCUUUGUUGUCUCAUUUUAUGUAACAUAUACAUGCUCAUACAUGACUUGCCUUAGACUCCUUGCUCAUGCUGUUAUUGAACCAGGAGUUUAACAGUGGUCCUUCUGUAGCACUUACAUAGCCGUACCUGCCUUUUGGGUCUUCUGGAUACCAAAACCAUAUAUAUGCACGUAUGUCUUUGCAUAUAUGUGUGUAUAUAUAUAUAUAUAUAUAUACUAGAAUUAGUACCCAGCCUUGCCCAGGAAAGUAUUCACAGAAAUGUUUGCCAGUUUGUAAAAUAGGAAUUCACGGUACUUAAGCAUGUUUUUUUAUAUUUAACCUAACUUCUGGACUUAUUUCAUUGGAACUAUCCAAGGAAUGGUAAUCUAUUUACACGGGUAGAAGGUUAUUUGAAACAGUUUUUAUCCUGAAAAAUUACCUUAAUUUUAUUUCAAAGUGAAAGAGAAGAGAAAGUGAAAGGUGUAUGAACGUGUGUAUGACAUAGACGUGGAUGUGAGAGAGAGAGAAAAUGUGUGUGUCACUUACACAUACAUGAGAACACACACGUUCACUCACACACACAUGCUCACGUAUAUACAAGAUGUACGCAUAUGUAUUGAUGUAUGUACGUAUACAUGACAACACACCCCUUUCCUCCUCACUGUCUCUCUCUCUCUCUUCCUCUCUCUCUCUGUCUGUCUCUCUCUCUCUUUCACACACACACACACGCAUGUCCAUUUCUAAUACAUCUUUCACUUUCUCCUCUCUUUUACUUCAAAACAAAAGUAAAUAAAAAAAAAAAAAACUCUUUAAGGAAAUUAAUGAAUUCCGGAGGAUGAAAUCUCAUUCAGUUAAAAAUAUUUCCAAAUGAUUAAAAUAUUGCCUACAUCAAAAAGUCGACGGUUAUUUUUUCUUCUUAGAUAGUGCGAAGACAAUGUGUGUGUAUAUGUCACAGAUAGUGAACAGGUGUUUGUGUUGAUUGACAUACCUUGACAUUCAUUAUAUGUGUGUGUAUUCUGUCUGUGUGUUGACGUCAUGGAAGCCAGGUAUUUUUAUCAUCAAGAAAUAAUAAAUAUUGUGUUUAAUUGUUUAAAUAGAGGUUCAAAUAUCACAAAAAUUUGUACUGCGCUGCCAAAGGUAAGUAUGAAAAUAAAUAUGUAAAAGAAUUAAGAUAAAAUAUGCUAUUUCUGAGAUAUUUCAGUUACACACAAACAUCCCUUAAGUUUUAGUAUUAUCAAGAUAUAUAUAAGGUGGCAAGCUGGCAGAAUCGUUAGCAUGCCAGGCGAAAUGCUUAGCGGUAUUUCGUCUGUCUUUACGUUCUGAGUUCAAAUUCCGCCAAGGUUGACUUUGCCUUUCAUCUUUUUGGGGGUUGAUAAAUUAAGUACCAGUUAUGUACUGGGGUCGAUCUAAUUGACUGGACCCCCUCCCCCCAAAAAAUUACAGGCCUUGUGCCUAUAACAGAAAGGAUUAUCAAGGUAGAUAUAUGCACGUAUGUCUUUGCAUCUGCUUCUUCUCCACCGAUGUUUGACAACCAGUGCUGGCAUGUCUACGUCCCCAUAACUUAGCAAUUUGGCAAAAGAGACUGAUAGAAUAAGUACCAGACUUCAAAAAAACAAAAAAGUACCGGAUUCAGUUUGUUUUAGUUAAAAUUGUUCAAGGUGAUGCCCCAGUAUGGCCACAGUCUAAGGAUUGAAACAAAUAAAAAAGAAAAGAUAAAGAAAGAUACACACAUAAAGAGAGAGAGAGAGAGCAGAAGAGGAAGGAGAGCAGAAGAGGAAGGAGAGCAGAAGAGGAAGGAGAGCAGAAGAGGAAGGAGAGAAAUUGAAACGUGUGAUGUUAAAUAAGCCAGCAUCAAAUCAGGGAUGCCAAACAGGCGCUGCCAAUACAGCUGUGCCAAAAUGUCUUGUACCCCCAAAGGAGUAUUUCUUCAUUGGAUGGUCUUUGGGCUGCAAUAUGUUCGUUGUUGAAACUGUUCUAUAAAUGUUGCAUUGCUAUGAAUGUGUCGUUUUAUAUGGGAAGGCUUUUAAUUCAUAUUUCCAUGACAACAAUCCUGAUUUUCAGCUUUAGUUCCCUACUCAAGAGAUAUUACAGGAAUGUCUGUUUAGCUAGAGUUUUAACAUUAUUCUCUAUGAAUUUUGUAGCAACAAAAUAUGAUUAACUCA
Molecule: long non-coding RNA, 3317 nt
Filed under: Octopus vulgaris (common octopus)
Lineage: Eukaryota; Metazoa; Mollusca; Cephalopoda; Octopoda; Octopodidae
Source: RNAcentral